AUUCACUAUUCAUAAGCAACUUAACAUCUUAGCCUUCCAAUCUUCCUCCAAUCUCAGCCACUCGAUUAUUCUUCUCCUUACUUCAGCCAUCUCCUUUCUCUCUGACUGUGUUUCUAUUCCAACCGAUUCUCUCUCCUCUUUCUCUUUGUUUCUCUCACUCUUUAGUCAACUUUUUAGGGUUUGAUAUUGUGGGAAUUUUUAGACAUUCAUCAAUGGCAAAAAUUAUGGAUAUGGAUGAGGAUUUCAAGGAUGUUUUCUGUGAGUAUAAUUAGCUGAAGCUGAAUCAUUCGGCGCCGAAAGCCUGCCCGCCGGUGGUGGUUAAGAAGGAGAAGCUUCAACGGUGUUGUUUCCCUGUUCACAGUUGCUACUAAUGGUUUGAAGCGAGUUCUUAUUGCCACUGUCACUACCAUCACCAUCUAAAAUGAAGAAGAUAUGGUAUUGAAGAACCCAAAUCCAAUUAAAGAAGGAACAUUAGAAAGGCAGGAAUAAUGAAUUAAAGAAGGAAUUGAAUUGAUAGCUCCUCUAGGAGAGAGUGAUGAUGAAGAGAUAGGCUGGUGGGCACGUGUUUUUGCAGCCUUCUUUGUUUGCAAUUAGAUGAAUCUAUGAGAGGGAAGAAAGUGCUUUUGCAGCCAUUUUUCAAGAAUUAGUAAUUCUUGAAGAAGUUGGAAAAAGGUUAUGAAGAACAAAUAUCAUAAUUUCAUCAUUAAUGAGGUUUAUGACCAUAAUGGAUCGAGGUCUAUCAUCAGUUCUGGCAUUGCUGGGGUUUUCUUGUGUGCCAAAGUCCUUUUUUCUAUCAUUUCAAGCUUCAUGAAAUGGCCAAAGUCUAGCUAUGGAAGAACAAGUUCUUCUUUCUCUCUCCUUUCUUUGUGUCUCUGAAAAAUGUUGUCAAUGAUUAGUGCUUUUCUUAUUUAUUAAUUAUCUAUGAAUAUCUUCUGGUUUUACAUUUAUUUAUAUAGUUUGGCGCUCAUUAUUAUGGGAUUAUGCGCGAGAGAGUUUCAGGAGGCUUGACAUAGGGAAGGGAUCAUUCAGAGUAUUGGAAUUUGGCUCCUUCUUCUACAACAAGAUGCAACAAGAUCGACGUACUAAGAUCAACGCGGUAGUUGGUCAAAUUGCCUUCUCCCAGUUUCAGGAAUAUUUAGAGAAACGUUUUACGGGAGAAUGAACUCUGUCGACGAGAUUGGAACUCGAAUUUCCCAAAAAUCGAAGGUAUGUUUACGAAUGUGGUAUGUUCUCUCCAAAACUUUGGCUGAGGAAGCUGCCUGGAAGCUUGCAAAAGAGAAGGGUAUUGACUUGGUGACAAUAAAUCCUGGAAUGGUUAUUAGACCAUUGUUGCAACCAACACUCAACACAAGUGCAGCUACAAUAGCCAACUAUUCAGUGGUAUGUCAUGAAGUAGAUUCGACUUGCUCAACAAACUGACAGACUUCGCAGAUGUGCUCACCAAGAGUGCUAAUGAUUUUACCGUGCAAUCUGACCUCCGAGGUGGAUAUCUUCUUUCACAUCACAGAGCAUCGGUUUCAAGUUGUUCGUCCUUAUUGAUAUCUGCAGAAUUCAGGCCAAGAGUACCACUUGGUGGAGGACAUAGUGUGAAGAGUGCACUAUUUAGUGUUUGCUCCUAUUAAGGUGAAGCAUCCACUCAAGGUCUCUUGAGGCUGUCAAUAUCAUUCAAGCGCCCACUACUUGCUCUUAACCGGCAAUAAUGGGCAGUGUGUUUGUCGGCUUUGUUACUUUAUUUUUGCGAUUAGUACAGUAUAAUUGUCUCAAAUACAUGUUGAUCGAUUAUUUUGUACUAUGCGUUUUUUGGGUUGAAAAAUGGUAUCUUGUCGUUAGUUUCUUAUGUUGUCU
Long non-coding RNA from Beta vulgaris subsp. vulgaris (sugar beet), 1845 nucleotides. RefSeq lists it as uncharacterized. The transcript is spliced from 11 exons. The record is from RefSeq and is a predicted model, not a curated record. NCBI's taxonomy places the organism in Eukaryota, Viridiplantae, Streptophyta, Magnoliopsida, Caryophyllales, Amaranthaceae.